This 254-nucleotide ribosomal RNA is filed under the name uncultured bacterium. Its description in RNAcentral is "partial 16S ribosomal RNA". It matches the Rfam family "Bacterial small subunit ribosomal RNA", at positions 524 to 776 of the family's 1533-position model. The record is from RNAcentral.
UACAGAGGUCCCGAGCGUUGUUCGGAUUCAUUGGGCGUAAAGGGUGCGUAGGCGGUCUUCUAAGUUUGAUGUGAAAUCCCGGGGCUCAACCCUGGAAUUGCAUUGAAUACUGGAGGACUAGAGUACUGGAGAGGAAACUGGAAUUUACGGUGUAGCAGUGAAAUGCGUAGAGAUGUGGAGGAAUACCGAUGGCGAAGGCGGCAUCCUGGACCGGCAUUGACGCUGAGUGAGCGAAAGCCAGGGGAGCAAACGGG